Molecule: ribosomal RNA, 1506 nt
Filed under: metagenome
Description: bacterial LSU rRNA
Rfam family: Bacterial large subunit ribosomal RNA
Source: RNAcentral
UUGUUGGCGGAUGCGUGGGACCUGAUCUGGUAGUAGCCAAGCGAUGGGGUGACGCAGGAAGGUAGCUGGGCCAGUCAGUGGUUGUACUGGUGUAAGAGUGUAGGCCGUGACAUAGGCAAAUCCGUGUCACAUUAAGGCUGAGACUUGAUGCAUACCCGUUGUGGGGAAUUCAGUGAUCCUAUGCUGCCGAGAAAAGCCUCUAGUGAGUUCAUACACGGCCCGUACCCCAAACCGACACAGGUGAUCAGGUAGAGAAUACCAAGGCGAUCGAGAGAACUGUGGUUAAGGAACUCGGCAAAAUGCCCCCGUAACUUCGGGAGAAGGGGGACCAUGCCCGGUGAACAUCUUCACGGUGGGAGCUGGGUGUGGUCGCAGAGACCAGAGAGAAGCGACUGUUUACUAAAAACACAGGUCCGUGCGAAGACGUAAGUCCAUGUAUACGGACUGACGCCUGCCCGGUGCUGGAAGGUUAAGAGGACCGGUUAGCCGUAAGGCGAAGCUGAGAAUUUAAGCCCCAGUAAACGGCGGUGGUAACUAUAACCAUCCUAAGGUAGCGAAAUUCCUUGUCGGGUAAGUUCCGACCUGCACGAAUGGCGUAACGACUUCUCUGCUGUCUCGACCACAGACUCGGCGAAAUUGCACUACGAGUAAAGAUGCUCGUUACGCGCGGCAGGACGAAAAGACCCCGGGACCUUUACUAUAGCUUGGUAUUGGCGUUCGAUUCGGUUUGUGUAGGAUAGGUGGGAGACUGUGAAGCAUGCACGCCAGUGUGUGUGGAGUCGUUGUUGAAAUACCACUCUGAUCGUAUUGGACGUCUAACCUCGGCCCAUGAUCUGGGUUAGGGACAGUGCCUGGUGGGUAGUUUAACUGGGGCGGUUGCCUCCUAAAGAGUAACGGAGGCGCCCAAAGGUUCCCUCAGCCUGGAUGGCAAUCAGGUGUUGAGUGCAAGUGCACAAGGGAGCUUGACUGUGAGACCGACACGUCGAGCAGGGACGAAAGUCGGGACUAGUGAUCCGGCACCGGCAAGUGGAAGCGGUGUCGCUCAACGGAUAAAAGGUACCCCGGGGAUAACAGGCUGAUCUUCCCCAAGAGUCCAUAUCGACGGGAUGGUUUGGCACCUCGAUGUCGGCUCGUCGCAUCCUGGGGCUGGAGUAGGUCCCAAGGGUUGGGCUGUUCGCCCAUUAAAGCGGCACGCGAGCUGGGUUUAGAACGUCGUGAGACAGUUCGGUCUCUAUCCGCCGCGCGCGUAAGAAACUUGAGGAAGGCUGUCCCUAGUACGAGAGGACCGGGACGGACGAACCUCUGGUGUGCCAGUUGUUCCACCAGGAGCAUGGCUGGUUAGCUACGUUCGGAAGGGAUAACCGCUGAAAGCAUCUAAGCGGGAAGCCUGUUCCAAGAUGAGGUUUCUCACCACCUUGCGUGGUUAAGGCCCCCUACAGACCAUGGGGUUGAUAGGCCGGAACUGGAAGCGCAGCAAUGCGUGGAGGUGACCGGUACUAAUAGGCC